This 253-nucleotide ribosomal RNA is filed under the name uncultured bacterium. Its description in RNAcentral is "partial 16S ribosomal RNA". It matches the Rfam family "Bacterial small subunit ribosomal RNA", at positions 524 to 776 of the family's 1533-position model. The record is from RNAcentral.
UACGUAGGGUGCGAGCGUUGUCCGGAAUUAUUGGGCGUAAAGAGCUCGUAGGCGGCCUGUCGCGUCGGAUGUGAAAGCCCGGGGCUUAACCCCGGGUCUGCAUUCGAUACGGGCAGGCUAGAGUGUGGUAGGGGAGAUCGGAAUUCCUGGUGUAGCGGUGAAAUGCGCAGAUAUCAGGAGGAACACCUGUGGCGAAAGCGGCUCACUGGACCAUUACUGACGCUGAUGCACGAAAGCUAGGGGAGCAAACAGG